RNAcentral lists this transfer RNA (71 nucleotides) under Loxodonta africana (African savanna elephant). It matches the Rfam family "tRNA". Rfam says of the family: Transfer RNA (tRNA) molecules are approximately 80 nucleotides in length. Their secondary structure includes four short double-helical elements and three loops (D, anti-codon, and T loops). Lineage: Eukaryota; Metazoa; Chordata; Mammalia; Proboscidea; Elephantidae. The record is from Rfam by way of RNAcentral.
GCAUUGGUGGUUCAGUGGUAGAAUUCUCACCUUCCAUGCUAGAGAUCCGAGUUUGAGCCCCGGCCAAUGCA